AUUGAACGCUGGCGGCAUGCCUUACACAUGCAAGUCGAACGGUAGAGUAGCAAUACUUGAGAGUGGCGAACGGGUGAGUAAUAUAUCGGAACGUGCCCAGUCGUGGGGGAUAACGUAGAGAAAUUUACGCUAAUACCGCAUACGAUCUAAGGAUGAAAGCGGGGGAUUCGCAAGAACCUCGCGCGAUUGGAGCGGCUGAUAUCAGAUUAGGUAGUUGGUGAGGUAAAGGCUCACCAAGCCGACGAUCUGUAGCUGGUCUGAGAGGACGACCAGCCACACUGGGACUGAGACACGGCCCAGACUCCUACGGGAGGCAGCAGUGGGGAAUUUUGGACAAUGGGCGCAAGCCUGAUCCAGCAAUGCCGCGUGCAGGAUGAAGGCCUUCGGGUU
RNAcentral lists this ribosomal RNA (390 nucleotides) under uncultured bacterium. RNAcentral's name for it is "bacterial SSU rRNA". It matches the Rfam family "Bacterial small subunit ribosomal RNA", at positions 30 to 424 of the family's 1533-position model. The record is from RNAcentral.